UCCAGACUCCUACGGGAGGCAGCAGUGGGGAAUAUUGCACAAUGGGGGAAACCCUGAUGCAGCAACGCCGCGUGAGUGAAGAAGUAUUUCGGUAUGUAAAGCUCUAUCAGCAGGGAAGAAGAUGACGGUACCUGACUAAGAAGCCCCGGCUAACUACGUGCCAGCAGCCGUGGUAAUACGUAGGGGGCAAGCGUUAUCCGGAUUUACUGGGUGUAAAGGGAGCGUAGACGGCAGGGCAAGUCUGGAGUGAAAGCCCGGGGCCCAACCCCGGGACUGCUUUGGAAACUGCCAUGCUAGAGUGCUGGAGAGGUAAGCGGAAUUCCUAGUGUAGCGGUGAAAUGCGUAGAUAUUAGGAGGAACACCAGUGGCGAAGGCGGCCUGCUGGACGAUGACUGACGUUGAGGCUCGAAAGCGUGGGGAGCAAACAGGAUUAGAUACCCCAGUA
RNAcentral lists this ribosomal RNA (445 nucleotides) under uncultured bacterium. RNAcentral's name for it is "bacterial SSU rRNA". It matches the Rfam family "Bacterial small subunit ribosomal RNA", at positions 330 to 792 of the family's 1533-position model. The record is from RNAcentral.